AGCAGAGUGGCGCAGGGGAAGCGUGCUGAGCCCAUAACCCAGAGGUCGGUGGAUCGAAACCACUCUCUGCUA
Molecule: transfer RNA, 72 nt
Filed under: Oopsacas minuta
Lineage: Eukaryota; Metazoa; Porifera; Hexactinellida; Lyssacinosida; Leucopsacidae
Description: tRNA-iMet
Rfam family: tRNA
About the family: Transfer RNA (tRNA) molecules are approximately 80 nucleotides in length. Their secondary structure includes four short double-helical elements and three loops (D, anti-codon, and T loops).
Source: RNAcentral